AACACGUAAACAACCUGCCUUCAGGAUGGGGCCCUUAAAAGGAAACGACUGCUAAUACCGAAUAAGUUCCAAGGGCCGCAUGGCCCAUGGAAGAAAAGGUGGCCUCUACCUGUAAGCUAUCGCCUGAAGAGGGGUUUGCGUCUGAUUAGCUGGUUGGAGGGGUAACGGCCCACCAAGGCGACGAUCAGUAGCCGGUCUGAGAGGAUGAACGGCCACACUGGAACUGAGACACGGUCCAGACUCCUACGGGAGGCAGCAGUGGGGAAUCUUCCGCAAUGGGCGAAAGCCUGACGGAGCAACGCCGCGUGAGUGAUGACGGCCUUCGGGUUGUAAAACUCUGUGAUUUUUUACGAAAAGGCAGAGUGCGAAGAACAAACUGCAUUGACGGUACCGGAAAAGCAAGCCACGGCUAACUACGUGCCAGCAGCCGCGGUAAUACGUAGGUGGCAAGCGUUGUCCGGAAUUAUUGGGCGUAAAGCGCGCGCAGGCGGCUUCCCAAGUCCCUCUUAAAAGUGCGGGGCUUAACCCCGUGAUGGGAAGGAAACUGGGAAGCUGGAGUAUCGGAGAGGAAAGUGGAAUUCCUAGUGUAGCGGUGAAAUGCGUAGAGAUUAGGAAGAACACCGGUGGCGAAGGCGACUUUCUGGACGAAAACUGACGCUGAGGCGCGAAAGCG
RNAcentral lists this ribosomal RNA (673 nucleotides) under uncultured bacterium. Its description in RNAcentral is "bacterial SSU rRNA". It matches the Rfam family "Bacterial small subunit ribosomal RNA", at positions 112 to 761 of the family's 1533-position model. The record is from RNAcentral.